Molecule: long non-coding RNA, 1316 nt
Organism: Quercus robur (English oak)
Lineage: Eukaryota; Viridiplantae; Streptophyta; Magnoliopsida; Fagales; Fagaceae
Exons: 4
Source: RefSeq, a predicted model, not a curated record
UGUAGCAAUAUUUGUAUAUAUAUUUGUUGUUAAAUUUCUGGUUUUUUAUUUUUGAUUUUGGUUGAAGUUUGGUUUGGAUUAUGUGUAUAUUUUUGUGUAACUAUUGGUUGAUUGUGUGAGUUUUAGUUUUGGUUUUGGUUAAAGUUUAGUUCAUUUUGUGGCUUUUUAUUUUUUAUUUUGGUUAAAGUUUGCUCUAUUUUGGAGGAACUGUAGAUGGCAGUAGUGCUAACAAAAAUUUUCUCUAAGGUUUACAUCAAAAAUCGUUAAUCUGCCUCUGUACAUUUUUUUUUUUUUUUUAAUUUCGAUUCUCUGAUAUAAGGAAAUUGGUAUAACUUAAAAUAUUUCAUCUAUCUGAUUAUUACACUUAAAAUCAUUACCCUGUUGCUUGAAAUCGUGUAGUUGGUAGUCAUUUUCCCUUGCAAAUAUUGUCUUGAUGGUGGCUUUGGUUGCUUGGCUCUACCUUGCAGAUCUAUUUGAGCCUUGUUUAGGGGCAUUAUGAGGCAAUAUGACAGCUGCAAAUGCACUGGUGGAAACAUAUUAUCUCUAUUUAACUUAUUAUCCUCAUUGUUUGUUAACCAUCCUUUGUGUGAUUAUUGUUAUUAAUCCUCGAAAAACAUAUUUAAUCUGGACUGGUUGAUACUAUGUUAUAAGACUGCUAUGUUAAUCAUUAGGAGAUAGAUUGUUGCAUAAUUUUCUGCAAAUAAUUUUAAUUUUGAGAUUGCUUUAUACUGAAACACAGGGCAGGCUUUUAUUUCUUACUUGGCAACUGUAGUUUAUAUUUGCUAUGUUGUAUUGUAGGCUAUUUCUGUGGCUGAAAGAGUUGCUGAUGAGUGUUGUGAACCUUCACCAGGAGUGAAAAAACAAAGCUUCUUUUUUGUACCACGGGCAUUCUUCUUAGAAAAUUUGUCGUAUGCCCUUCUGUCUGAUUGGGUGAUAUUACUGAAUCUAUUACUAACAUUACUGCCAUAGAUAAAACAGUAACGGUUGUGUUGGAUAUUGAGAGACUUGCACAAUCCUCAGAUAGAGGUUGGGGGAGCCCAAAAGUGACUGAGUGGCAGCUUGUUUGAAGUUUACAUUCUUCUUUCCGUGGGCAAACACUGGGAUUGCUAAAGGGUGAGUAAGAUCUACUUCUUAAUUCCCUUAAAUUGUAAAAUAAUGUGGUGGGUUGUUGUUUAGGAGCAAGCAGGUGGCUUGCAUGGAGAGAAAAGGUGGAAUAUAUUGGGAGUGUUGUUUGUUUUGUGAAUGUUAACAUAUUGUUGUUCAAUUUGUUGUCAAUUUCUUGUAUUUUGUCUAAGUAAAUACAUAUAGUAUGCUGU